GUGGGGAAUAUUCCGCAAUGGACGAAAGUCUGACGGAGCAACGCCGCGUGAGUGAUGAAGGUUUUCGGACUGUAAAGCUCUGUUGUUUAGGACGAAAGUGCCUGUUGCGAACAGUUACAGGUAUUGACGGUACUAAACGAGGAAGCCACGGCUAACUACGUGCCAGCAGCCGCGGUAAUACGUAGGUGGCAAGCGUUGUCCGGAAUUAUUGGGCGUAAAGAGCAUGUAGGCGGAGAUUUAAGUCUGUUGUGAAAAUGCGGGGCUCAACCCCGUAUUGCGAUGGAAACUGAAUUUCUUGAGUGCAGGAGAGGAAAGGGGAAUUCCCAGUGUAGCGGUGAAAUGCGUAGAUAUUGGGAGGAACACCAGUGGCGAAGGCGCCUUUCUGGACGAAAACUGACGCUGAGGCGCGAAAGCCAGGGGAGCGAACGGGAUUAGAUACCCGAGUAGUCC
This 450-nucleotide ribosomal RNA is filed under the name uncultured bacterium. Its description in RNAcentral is "partial 16S ribosomal RNA". It matches the Rfam family "Bacterial small subunit ribosomal RNA", at positions 354 to 796 of the family's 1533-position model. The record is from RNAcentral.